RNAcentral lists this long non-coding RNA (1497 nucleotides) under Cucumis sativus (cucumber). RNAcentral describes it as "long non-coding RNA (CSAT_LNC001745)". Lineage: Eukaryota; Viridiplantae; Streptophyta; Magnoliopsida; Cucurbitales; Cucurbitaceae. The record is from RNAcentral.
GCAACCAUUGUGCACCCAGAACGAGCCCCACCCGACCCCUAGGCCCUGGGCUUUUUUUAUGUGUCAUACUGGGUGCAAUAUAGAUGGGUUUCCACACCUAUCCGCGGGCUAUCAUCGGCCUAAAUAGGUUGCACAAGAUCGAAGAAGCAAAACUAGUCCAUGGGAAGAAAAGCAUUGGGACGAAAAUAAAAACUGAGUCUGGGCAUCUCCGAGCGGUUCUUGUGGGAGAAAACUUGAUAUACUCAGAGUGAGGCCUCCUAGUAGUUAUCUGUGAAUUUUCGGGACGUUUCUCACAUGGUUAAAAAUCGGCCGAUUUUCGGUAUGGUAAAGCCUUGGCCAUUUUUGGACCGUUUUUUGGCGCAACCUUGUGCACCCCGAACGAGCCCCACCCGACCCCUAGGCCUGGGCUUUUUUUAUGUGUCAUACUGGUGCAAUAUAGAUGGGUUUCCACACCUAUCCGCGGGCUAUCAUCGGCCUAAAUAGGUUGCACAAGAUCGAAGAAGCACAACUAGUCCAUGGGAAGAAAAGCAUUGGGACGAAAAUAAAAACUGAGUCCGGGCAUUUUCGAGCGGUUCGUGUGGGAAAAAACCUUGAUAUUACUCAGAGUGAGGCCUCCUAGUAGUUAUAUGUGAAUUUUCGGGACGGUUCUCACAUGGUUAAAAAUCGGCCGAUUUUCGGUAUGGUAAAGCCUUGGCCAUUUUUGGACCGUUUUUUGCGCAACCGUUGUGCACCCCGAACGAGCCCCACCCGACCCCUAGGCCCUGGGCUUUUUUAUGUGUCAUAAUGGGUGCAAUAUAGAUGGGUUUCCACACCUAUCCGCGGGCUAUCAUCGGCCUAAAUAGGUUGCACAAGAUCAAAGAAACAAAACUAGUCCAUGGGAAGAAAAGCAUUGGGACGAAAAUAAAAACUGAGUCUGGGCAUCUCCGAGCGGUUCUUGUGGGAGAAAACUUUAAUAUUACUCAGAGUGAGGCCUCCUAGUAGUUAUCUGUGAAUUUUCGGGACGUUUCUCACAUGGUUAAAAAUCGGCCGAUUUUCGGUAUGGUAAAGCCUUGGCCAUUUUUGACCGUUUUUUUGCGCGAACCGUUGUGCACCCCGAACGAGCCUCACCCGACCCCUAGGCCCUGGGCUUUUUUUAUGUGUCAUACUGGGUGCAAUAUAGAUGGGUUUCCACACCUAUCCGCGGGCUAUCAUCGGCGUUAAAAAUAGGUUGCACAAGAUCAAAGAAACACAACUAGUCCAUGGGAAGAAAAGUAUUGGGACGAAAAUAAAAACUCAGUCUGGGCAUCUCCGAGCGGUUCUUGUGGGAGAAAACUUUAAUAUUGCUCAGAAUGAGGCCUCCUAGUAGUUAUGUGUGAAUUUUCGAGACGUUUCUCACAUGGUUAAAAAUCGGCCGAUUUUCGGUAUGGUAAAGCCUUGGCCAUUUUUGGACCGUUUUUUGGCGCAACCGUUGUGCACCCGAACGAGCCCCACCCGACCCCUAGGCCCUGGGCUUUUUUU